CCAAACCUCGCUGGAGCCCAAGACAGCUCGCACGGAAGUAGUAGGGCAUGAAUUGGACGCGGUCGCCGGCGCCGAAGAAAGGAGCAAGUCACAAGCUGAGCAAGCCCGCACGGCCACACCCCACCAGCAGAGCAUAGUAGGGCCGGUGGAGCUAGGGAGCAACGCCUGCUCGCCCCGGAGUGCCGCGCACUGAAGCCAUGACGCCCGUCGCGCUUAGGUAUUCCUAUCCGCCGCUCCCGGCACUGGCCUGCCACCGCGCGCAAGUCGGUUGCCCAGCUGCAGCCGCGGCAGGCCAGCACACACGAGAGGCCGGCAAAGCAUGGCCACCGCCAGGCUCCACCUCCAAGGUCGCGCCGUCAUCCGCCGCACCGGCUCCCUGAGCACGGAUCCAGGUAGGCAGGACCCGGACCCUGCCAUGGAGGGCCGGGAUCUGUCCCGUCCUGGCCACUCCGGACACCGACCGCCAUGAGAAGAGCUAGCUCGGAAGGAGGAAGGGGAGAGGGAAUGGAGGGAGCGGUGGAUUGCGGACAACAGCCUUGUUGGGCGCCGCCGCCACCGCUCUCCGGUGAGCGGCGACGGCGGCCGAGGGCUUGCUCCGUCGAGGGUUUCUGGCGGCGGCGGUGUAUCGCCCCCGACUCGCCUGUACGACGACGCGCGGGAGGGUGGAUAGAGGUACUUCUGGUGUACAUUAUUGCAUCUAUUAACGCAUACAUAAAUUGCUUGCAUACACUGUAUGUGCAGGAGAGAGAUUGAUUUACUGGAAAUCUGGAGGAGGAAAUCUGGUGUGCUUCAGUGCUGCAGUGCUGCUUUGCAUACAUUUCUUCUGACGGCAGAAUCUAGAAGAGCUGCAGAUUCAGAUGGAGCUGCUGGCCUAGUUUGUAGAUUUAAUUAGCUCAAGAGGCAGGCGACAGAACCAAUUCAUCAUGCCAACAGAGAGGAUCUCAUUCAUAGCGGAUAGCAUAGAUGACGCAGCAGAUCAGAUCAUUCAUAUUUUGGAGGGCACACACAAUCGAAGAGAUGUAAUAUACUUCCAUGGCUGGUUUGGGUUUGGAGCGUCUGCCGUACUCAAAGCUGUCGUAAAAAAACUAAGAUCAUCAUCUGGGUUGGCUGACACUAGGACAGCAAGGGACUUGGGAAAGAUCAUCCACGUCGAUGUCUCACAGUGGCAGAGCAAGAGAUCCCUACAGAAGGUGAUUGCAGAGGAGCUUGAGCUACCCCCGCAGGUGAUGGCACUCUUUGACCAGCAUGAUGAGGAGGAUGAUUUUGAUGGGGUGGAGCAGAGAGAUAGAGCUGUGAUUCCUUAUGUCAAAGCAGCGAUCAUGAAUGAACUUAUGGCUCGCAGAUUCCUUGUGGUUUUGCACAAUGGGAGUGGCAGCUACAUUGAUCUGUGGGAGGCUGGUGUCCCUGUAAUUGGGGAAUUGAGCAAGAGGGUGUUAUGGACAUCCCGAGGCAGGUUCUGGCAUCAUGCCAAAGAGGGCCAUGGAGAAUAUUUUAAGUUAGAUAAAAUAGAGUUAGCUAAUAAAUGGAGUGAUGCAUCUAUAUUUGUUUUUCCAUCAGCAGUGUUUGAGGACGACGAUGCUGUAUAUCAUGCCAUGAGGAACGCUCUAUAUGCAGAGGCUGAGGAGGUUGCUAAGUACACAGGUGUCCCUGAACCCGACAUGAGCCCAAAGAUUGUCACUGAAUGCAUCUUGUAUAGGGCACUGAGAGGUAAUGACCACAACAUCAACUGGGAGUCCCAUGGCUCCAACUACUGGGUAUGUGAUGGGAUUAUACAGGAAGGCACUGAUGGUGGUAGGUCGGCAUGGAAGAUCAGCGAUGCUUUGCAGAGGAACAUGAGCCUGGACUUUUGUAGUGAGUGUAUUGAACUAAUCUGUGGAGCGUUGAGUGGUGAACAGAAGAGGUGUAUGGAACGCUGGGUUUCAGUUACCAACCAGAAUUCAACGGAAGUCCAAUUGACAUCUCAGGCAACAUCCUUCUUCUGUACAACAAUUGGAUCAUCAGUUGAUCAGCGGGUUCUAGAAGCAGGCAUGUUUGAGCAUUCAGAUAGGACGACCAAUCUGCAUGUGAUUCAUCUCUCCUACUGUACCUUCAAUUUUUCAUCUCCUCCAUUCCUGAGUUGCAGCAACCUAAGAUUUCUCUUGCUUGAUCACUGCAAAGACCAGGACACACAAGACCUUGGUGAAGAAAAGGAAUGCCAUCACCACAGCCAUUGUAUCCAACAAGACGGUGGAGCAUGCUUCCGGAAUCUAUGUGCGCUAGAGCUGAAUUAUACAGACUGGUACUGGCUGCUAUCAAAGGACAUGUUGGAUUUCAUGGCCAACCUCAGGGAGUUGAAUGUGAAAGCAGUCGGUAAUCGGAGCAUGAGCCAUCUAUGUCAUUGCAGUGGUGCCGGAAGCAACAACCGGAAGCUGGUUAAGCUCCGAGUGGUAGCGGAGGAGCCACAUAACAAAUACGAUGACAAUGGAGAUACAAAUCAAGCAGUCUCUCCAGUGGUAGAAUCAUUCCCAGACCUGUCAAGUUGGCACAUCCUCAAGACAGUAGUCCUUGAUGGUUGUGGUGAUUUGAAGCAAAUUGACUGCAACGCCCUACCCCUCUCGCUAGAGUCAUUUACCUUGAUCAGCAGUGCCAGUAGUAAGAUAAAGAUCAUCUCCUUCUGGGGACGUGCCAGAUUGAAGAGCCUCUUGUUGAGAGGAUUAUUUGAUAGCCUUGUGGAGCUGGACAUGUCUGGUACAGCAAUUAAAACACUUGACCUUAGAGCAACGCAAGCCAUGGGCCUUAGGCGUCUCUUUUUGUUGGGAUGUGAGGAGCUUCGUGCAAUACUAUGGCCACAAGUGCAAGAUGAAAACAAGGAGGUUCAGUUGGAGGUGCUGCGCAUUGACACCACCACCACCCAUGCAGCAUGGUACAGGGAAGAAGGCAAGUCCAACAAGCAGCAAGAGGCUACUGCUGCUAGUGACAAUACAAGUAUAGAAGGGUCAUCAUCAGCGGCCGUGUGUGGCAAGGAGGACCGAACAACCAUCAACUCAGAUUGGUAUAUUUCCGUAAGGGAUCCUAGGUUUUUUCGUUCACUUAUGAACUUGAGGCAUGCCAAGGGGUUACAUGUUGAGAUUUCAUCUACUGGUGGUCACACAGAUACCUCCUGUGAAGGAAUAUAUAGCAAUGCUUGUGGCCAACAGAAGCCAGUUGGUAACUUGUACUACAUUGAUGGCAUCAUUUCCACCGCCUUCAAUAGCAACUCACAAGCUGAUGAUGGUGCCGAUAGGGAUCUAUUUGCAGAGGCUGAGGCAUCAACAAUGAAGCGCAUGUGGUUAUGGCAUUGCCCCCCUAUUCCUAUGAAUUCCAAUUGGGCCCACUGCUAUAUUACCAUACAAGAUGAGACAAGGACCGAGUCACUGCAGGGUAUUAGUAGUAGCAGCAGCAGCAGCAGCACACAAUUAAUAACUGCUGCUACAACUCUCCCAGAUUUUGUGCAUGUGAAUGCUAGGACCCUGCACUUUCAUGACAGCUUGUCCAUCACCUGUCUACCUGGCCCCCCUGCACCUGCUACUACUGAUGAUGCAGUAGAUUUUAAAUGGAAUUAUUUACGAUGGUGUCGACUCGAGAGAUGCUCCAAUUUAGAAGGCGUUGUUUUCACUGCACCUCUAAAGCUGUCAGAUAAUAUUUUCUAUUGUCUAGAGACAUUCUGGGCAUCCCAACUCCCAAAGGCACGGUACAUCUGGGACUGGAGCACAUCCGGGUUUCGUCCUGGACGAGGUUCUUUUGAGGAUCUUUCAUUCUUACACCUGGAUUAUUGCCCCAGGCUAGUGCAUGUACUCCCCUUGUACACAUCAAAUACCAAUGGAUGCCAUAACUUGGAAACCCUUGAGAUCGUGUGUUGCGGGAACCUGAGGGAAGUCUUUCCAUUAGAUUCAAAAUCACAGCAGCAGGAAGAACCAAGACAAUUCCCUAACUUGAAGCGCAUCCACCUAUAUGAGCUACCCAAGUUGCAGCGCAUCUGUGGGCACUGCAAGAUGUUGGCGCCUAGGCUCGAGACCGUGAAGGUGAGGGGAUGCUGGGGCCUCAAGCGCCUACCAGCUGCGGUUCGAGAUGAGGCAGAGUCGUCGGAGGAAGAAUCUUCUGAGGACAUCACGCCAUUGUCAACAGUGAACUUGGACUGUGAGAAGGAAUGGUGGGACAACCUCGAGUGGGAUGGGGAAGAGGCUGGCCACCACCCUUCCCAGUACAAGCCCACCUAUUCAGCCUACUACAAGAAGAACCAGCUCCGAGCCUCUGUGCUCAGGUAGGUAGCAAUCUCUUUUAUGGAAUGGCUUGGAAUGGUUCAUCAUGAACAGGAGAAGAUCGAGAUAUGCUAUGCUUGGAUUGCUCUGCUUCCGUCGAGUCUUCAACAACUCUGUUCUAUUUGCUUGUGUGUGUGUGUGUGUGUGGGCUUCGUUUGCUAGUCAGACAACUUGCCUGAUCAAUGACAUGUAAACAGACAAGUGAAAGUAGAGUCUUAAAUCUCCCCUCCUGUUGGUGUUGGCUGCCCGGCACAAGGCUCAGUUGCUGCCAACUAUCACAGAGAGACCACGACGUCCCAGUAAAUUUGGCUUGUGUUUUAUAAGCAAGAGCACAGUAGGUGAUCACAAGAUCCAGGCUCUUGAUGACACAAGGGGCAUUCUGAUUUCUGAACCCUCAUGGCAUGGGUGCCCAAGUUUUCCAGAUGAAAAUAUUCUGCAAUUGCAGACGCUGGCACUGUCAGAAGCUCCUUGAUUUCCCUUCAAGCCAAUUCGCGGUAAAAAGAACUCUGUCCAUUCCCAACUUGUAAAGUUACUGGAGCUCCAAGAAAAGCCUGAAUGAACGAACUUGAGGAUCAGUCUGAAUCGGCAGCUCUGUUGCUGCACCGUAUUGCAA
RNA transcript from Sorghum bicolor (sorghum), 4890 nucleotides. RefSeq lists it as uncharacterized. The transcript is spliced from 4 exons. NCBI's taxonomy places the organism in Eukaryota, Viridiplantae, Streptophyta, Magnoliopsida, Poales, Poaceae. The record is from RefSeq and is a predicted model, not a curated record.